This 492-nucleotide ribosomal RNA is filed under the name uncultured bacterium. RNAcentral's name for it is "partial 16S ribosomal RNA". It matches the Rfam family "Bacterial small subunit ribosomal RNA", at positions 28 to 507 of the family's 1533-position model. The record is from RNAcentral.
GAUGAACGCUAGCUACAGGCUUAACACAUGCAAGUCGAGGGGAAACGACAUCGCAAGCUUGCUUUUGAUGGGCGUCGACCGGCGCACGGGUGAGUAACGCGUAUCCAACCUGCCCACCACUUGGGGAUAACCUUGCGAAAGUAAGACUAAUACCCAAUGAUAUCUCUAGAAGACAUCUGAAAGAGAUUAAAGAUUUAUCGGUGAUGGAUGGGGAUGCGUCUGAUUAGCUUGUUGGCGGGGUAACGGCCCACCAAGGCAACGAUCAGUAGGGGUUCUGAGAGGAAGGUCCCCCACAUGGGAACUGAGACACGGUCCAAACACCUACGGGAGGCAGCAGUGAGGAAGAUUGGUCAAGGGACGAGAGUCUGAACCAGCCAAGUAGCGUGCAGGAAGACGGCCCUAUGGGUUGUAAACUGCUUUUAUAAGGGAAUAAAGUGAGUCUCGUGAGACUUUUUGCAUGUACCUUAUGAAUAAGGACCGGCUAAUUCCGUG